CUCUGGACUCUGAAUCCAGCGAUCCGAGU
Molecule: non-coding RNA, 29 nt
Filed under: Bombyx mori (domestic silkworm)
Lineage: Eukaryota; Metazoa; Arthropoda; Insecta; Lepidoptera; Bombycidae
Also listed under: 10 other names
Source: RNAcentral